AUCUAUGAGUCGUGGAUAAUACGAAGUGUGAAGGCCAUUUUGCACGUGGUUUUUGGUGAAGGACAAAUGAUUUUUCUUUUGUGUUCGACGUUCCGGAGUUCAUCCAUUCUAAUCACAAUGGAAUCAUCUCACCGGUGUGUGUCCAUAGUGAAAAAAGAAGCUGAUGUUCACGACACUGACGAAUAGCAGUCAUAAAACGAGUUUGGAGAUCUUCAACUCUUCUGUUUCUUUUCAUCCUCCUUUUGGCCACCUGGAACAAAUUGGCGAGAGGAAAGCUGAAAAAGGACCUCAGAUGAUGGGGCAAUCAACACCUGGAUGAUGAUCCUCCCCUCUUCUGAUUAGAGAAAAGGUGUUGACGACGACUAAUGUACAACACAUGCAGCUUUGGAUGAGAAACUUAUGGUCCAUUUUCUUCUCCAGUGGCAAGCCUUCGACCACACUCGACGUAAAUGGAAGUAGAAUAUGACGAUAUCCAAUGAAGCAAAACACGAGAUUGUUUUGGUCCGAUUUCUUGGCCCGCCAUAACAAACCUGGCCAAUAACA
Molecule: long non-coding RNA, 543 nt
Organism: Daphnia carinata
Lineage: Eukaryota; Metazoa; Arthropoda; Branchiopoda; Diplostraca; Daphniidae
Exons: 3
Source: RefSeq, a predicted model, not a curated record